UGUGCAGUGACCUGUCAGCUCUAAUGAGGCCACAUCAAUGCAGGGGCAGAGAUGCUAGGCAGCUCUCUGGAGUCGCAGGGACCUGCAGAGAUGAAGACACUGACAUGCAAAGAAGUUAAAUAACUUCCUAAAGUCUUGCAGCUGAAAGGAGCCCACACCUGACUCUGUUCCAUUUUCAGAAUUUCUCUUACCCAGACUGUCAGGACGCAAAGAACUCCUGGUGAUUCAAGUUUUUGGCACUGAGGGAGAUGCUUAGCAGACAAGAUCAUGCCCCUAACUUUUUUCUUUGUGGACUCAAGGGUAAUGCAAGUAAGUUCACAAAGAUGUUGUUACUCAGCUGGAAUUGACUAUCCAUUUCCUGCACUAACUUUUCAUAUCAGAAGGCAGAAUUAACUCUCAACCUUGUGAUUUCUAUUUCCUAGAAAAAAGUUAAGAAGAAUGAGCAAACAGAUAGCCAUGGGUUUAAGGGAAAAUUCCCUAAACAAAAUGUGUCUGAAAUCUAUGCCCCACCCUGCUUACCAUUUCCCUAGGACAGUCAACCACUAGCUUUUACUGAAGUUCCUACUUUGGCCUUCUUUUCUUUUCUUUUGUACUGGGGUUUAAA
This is a long non-coding RNA of Fukomys damarensis (Damara mole-rat), 604 nucleotides long. RefSeq lists it as uncharacterized. NCBI's taxonomy places the organism in Eukaryota, Metazoa, Chordata, Mammalia, Rodentia, Bathyergidae. The transcript has 3 exons. The record is from RefSeq and is a predicted model, not a curated record.